This 486-nucleotide long non-coding RNA is filed under the name Strigops habroptila (Kakapo). RNAcentral describes it as "lncRNA (ENSSHBG00005009027.1)". Lineage: Eukaryota; Metazoa; Chordata; Aves; Psittaciformes; Psittacidae. The record is from RNAcentral.
ACAGAAUGUGUCUGUAUCACUUCCCAGUCAGCAGCAUUCACAAAAUGAGCUAUACAUUGGGAUUGGUUUAUCUGUGGUACUUCUAGCCAUCCUGAUUUUGGCUCUGUUCCUCACUAGACAGUAUUUAUUCAGCACAAAGAAGACGGGUGACUUUUCAAACUUUGUUGCAUUUUGGAGGCCAGAAGGUGCAGGGAACCACAGUGCACUGGAAGAUGAUGUCCAUGCAGAGGAAAACGUUUAUAUAGUGCACUAAGGACUGUAUGCAUGCUUGCCUUGGUCGGCGCUGGGACAUCAAAUGGCUUGCACAGUGUUAGCUGCUCCCUCUACUCAGCAGCUAAAUGUGACUGGACUAUUGAAGCAUUAUUCACAUCAUUCUGAUAAAACAAAUAAAAGCUACACUUCUAAUUAAAAUCUUUUAUCAGCCUCUUCCAGGAACAGAAGCCCUACUGGCUUGAAUGGAAAUUUCCAGAAUCCACUUAUCAAAAC